Molecule: ribosomal RNA, 603 nt
Filed under: Salmonella enterica subsp. enterica serovar Infantis
Lineage: Bacteria; Pseudomonadati; Pseudomonadota; Gammaproteobacteria; Enterobacterales; Enterobacteriaceae
Also listed under: 1 other name
Description: partial 23S ribosomal RNA
Rfam family: Bacterial large subunit ribosomal RNA
Source: RNAcentral
UGGUGGGUAGUUUGACUGGGGCGGUCUCCUCCUAAAGAGUAACGGAGGAGCACGAAGGUUGGCUAAUCCUGGUCGGACAUCAGGAGGUUAGUGCAAUGGCAUAAGCCAGCUUGACUGCGAGCGUGACGGCGCGAGCAGGUGCGAAAGCAGGUCAUAGUGAUCCGGUGGUUCUGAAUGGAAGGGCCAUCGCUCAACGGAUAAAAGGUACUCCGGGGAUAACAGGCUGAUACCGCCCAAGAGUUCAUAUCGACGGCGGUGUUUGGCACCUCGAUGUCGGCUCAUCACAUCCUGGGGCUGAAGUAGGUCCCAAGGGUAUGGCUGUUCGCCAUUUAAAGUGGUACGCGAGCUGGGUUUAGAACGUCGUGAGACAGUUCGGUCCCUAUCUGCCGUGGGCGCUGGAGAACUGAGGGGGGCUGCUCCUAGUACGAGAGGACCGGAGUGGACGCAUCACUGGUGUUCGGGUUGUCAUGCCAAUGGCACUGCCCGGUAGCUAAAUGCGGAAGAGAUAAGUGCUGAAAGCAUCUAAGCACGAAACUUGCCCCGAGAUGAGUUCUCCCUGAGACUUUAAGUCUCCUGAAGGAACGUUGAAGACGACGACGUUGA